Molecule: long non-coding RNA, 1328 nt
Filed under: Mus musculus (house mouse)
Lineage: Eukaryota; Metazoa; Chordata; Mammalia; Rodentia; Muridae
Description: predicted gene 12295
Source: RNAcentral
CUUUCUGCACAACAACACGGCUGAAGGACGGCUUGGUGGAGGCAGACUCCGUUUCCUAAGGGCUUAUCCCAAGUUAGAGUUCAGAGGGAAGGGAAUAGAACGCGACUUGUCCACCAAACAAAAUAUGCGUGUUACUACAGUUGUAUGUAGUGGUCAGGCAAAAAGAAAAUCAGAACUUCCAAAGCUGGAGUGUCAGGUGGUUGUGAACUACUCAACCUGGUUCCUGGGAACCAAACUCAGGUCCUCCGCCAAAGGAGCACAUGCACUUAGCCACUGAGUCAUCUCUGAAGUCCCAGAAACCUCUGAAUGCCCAGGUGACAAGACCAAGGCUGAGAGACUAGGAAAGGGCUAAGAAUCUGAGUCACUGGCUGAGCAAACUACAGGUCAAUGGUGGACCUUCUCAAAAGCAAUACAUAAAUGAUCGAGGAACAAAAGCAUCACAUCAUCAACUUUUGCCCUCCACAACUGCCUACAGAGUAUAGAGAUUAAGUUCUUCACAACUCCUCACCUGCCUAGUUGAUCAGCCCAGCCAUUCUUUCCAUUUAUCUUCUGCAAUCAAGAGAAACUCUUCUGGACAAAAAGAUGUCCUCUGCAGAUGGCACCAGUCAAAAGAACCCAGUAAACACCAAACCUUGGUCUGCAGGUAAGGGGCCACUGUCAAUGGCCUGAUUACUCUGAUUGGUAGCCAAUGGUCAUCAAACCCUUGGUUUGGCUCUCUCCUCUGGGCGAGACAUUCUUGCCUACCACAGACUGCUUUAUUACAUCACCAUGAUCGAAUCACCAUGCUUCAGGAUAAUGUCGAUAGAACAAAGUCAGUGCCUCCUUCUGCUGCUAAGUUAAGAAUCCCCUUGGCCAUCAAGUAUGCUUCCCCAAACUAUUUCCAAAGACGUUUGAAAAUAUGGAGAAAGUUUCAGAAAGCUCCAUCAUUACUAUGAGCCUCAGUCCCCAAUCUCUGUCUUAAGAUGCUGCUUGGAUGUUGUUGGAUCCUGCACUGGAAUGUACUAGAAGGUUGGUCCUCAGUAGGGUCAUAGCAGAACUCAUGGGACACUUGGAAAUAGGAGUCUAAUGGGAGGGGCUGGGAUCACAGGGAGUGCUUUUCUCCAUUCUUUCUUUACUCUCAUGAUUGGUGAUGACCAUUUGUCCCCACACAUGUUCCUGUCAUUGCCACCUGCAUGGGAUCUUCCCCAAAACUGGGCCAGUCUGGCCAUCAGUCUCUGAAUGCUCAGAAUCACGAACUAAGUAGACUUCCUUGUUAUACAUAGUUAACCUGCCAUGGGUACUCUAUUGAAGCAAUGAAAAGCAGAUCAAUAUAGGAUAUAAGACCUUCU